Molecule: long non-coding RNA, 1659 nt
Organism: Ictalurus punctatus (channel catfish)
Lineage: Eukaryota; Metazoa; Chordata; Actinopteri; Siluriformes; Ictaluridae
Exons: 4
Source: RefSeq, a predicted model, not a curated record
CUGGAAAAAAUUAUGCCCUCUCCACAGUAUUUUACGACCUGCAGUGCAGUAGUCGGCAGGGUCAUUCAGCCCAGGGCUUGUCUGGUUCUUUCGGGGGGUUGUAGACUCUAUUUUCUACCUUACAGUCCCUGCUUCAGGCCAACCAGGAGAGAUUACAUUCAAUUCAAUCAUCCUUAGCCCAGCAGUUGUCCUUUUUUACCAUCUGUUAUCAUAUCUCCUCUCUCCCGUCUGCCUGGGCUGAGAGGGAGGGAGGAGCGGCUCUCAGAUCUGCGCUCUGACUCAGGCAAUAACAUGUUAUAUAUGACCAGGAAUGGAGACAGAUGUCUGUGAAAGAUCAUUCCCUGGAUUGAAGAAGGACUCUGGGGAGGGAAGCCUCUUAAUGGCUCUCGUGUCACAUAAUGUGCUCUAUUUUAUCUUCAUUGCAAAACACUCAUUGUUCUUUUGCUCACUUACUGCCUUGAGCAACCUUAAUCAUCAAAAUUUGAAAUGCUUUGGCCGAGAGUGUCACAAUUUUUGGCAGAUCAACCCUCGUGUUUGUCUCCCUGAGGCAGUGCUGCUUGUCGGCAGACACAGAUAUAGGGAAAGAGCCCUCGUAUCAUGACAAGGAGUACGCUCUGUCUCACAAGCAUGGAGAGAGCAUUUUCAGGGGAUGUGUGUACUUGUACGAUCCGGUACAUUUUCCUACCUGCAGUGUGUGCUGUCAGCUGUAGUAUACAAUAAGCCUAUGUAAUACAGGCAGCUCAUCACUCACCAUCGCCUGUGUGAAUAUGUGCACUCUGGGAGAAAAAAGCAAGCAGCCAUUGCUUUCACAUCUUCUUUUUGUUUAUGUGCAAAUUUUCCCAUAAUGUCUACAUAAUUUUGGUUGAGAUUUACAGAGAUUAAAGAAUAUUUAAGUAGUGGAGUUCAGUCUUUAUAUUUUCAAUACUUCAUAUUUUAAAUAUAAGAAGACACCUUGUUAAUUCACAAUUGUGUAAAAAUCCAUAAGAAAUUCUGGAAAAGGUAAUUGUAGCUAUUAAAUUCGUGACACCUUGACUGGUGCAUAAUCACCAUAAUCAUGUGCUGCUGUUAGAAUCUGCCACUGAAACUAUUACAAAUAAAUAAAUAAAAUAAACUGUUUGACAUUUAAUAUUUUAAUUAUACACCUCCAGCUGAAUACCUAUUUAUGAUUCAUUAUAUAAUAAAUAAACAGUCGAAUUAGUGAUCAGAUUACAAAGAACACUGUCUUACUGAACUCACUGAACUUUUAUAAUAUCCAUGGCACUGAAAAGGAAAUGAAAACCUGUAAUGAGAGAAAAAAAAAAACGUAAUGAAGACGUGAAAGUUGUUUUGAUACGGCAUUAAAAAAGUUCAUGUGAAUUUGUCAACCAAACAAAUAUGCAGAGAAUUUCCACUAAAGGUGAGAAAGGUUAAUAUCUGGCCUCAGUGUGGCUUUCAGAGCACAAGGGUUUAAUAAUUAAUGCUCUUUCACUGAGACAUUCUGAUAACGUCUGCAGCAGAAUAUUAAAGAGUAAUACUUCCUCCCUAACCACUAAGGCAGGAACUCGCAUUCUCUUAUACUGUAUGUAUCUGCCUCAUCCUUUUAUUUCUGCCUCUUAUUUACUCGAUUUUUAGGAAGUGUCUGCAGUAGGUGAAAGAUAAAGGAAGAGAGAAGGUGAGAGA